CUGGUUGAUCCUGCCAGACCCGACUGCUAUCGGAUUGGGACUAAGCCAUGCGAGUCAACUCCGCAAGGGGUGGCGCACGGCUCAGUAACACGUAGUCAACCUACCCUGGGGACGGGGAUAACCUCGGGAAACUGAGGCUAAACCCCGAUGGGCCAUGGCUCCUGGAAUGGGCUAUGGCUGAAAUCUACAUGGCCCCAGGAUGGGACUGCGGCCGAUCAGGUUGUUGGUGGGGUAAUGGCCCACCAAGCCUAUAACCGGUGCGUGCUCUGAGAGGAGGAGCCCGGAGAUAGGCACUGAGACAAGGGCCCAGGUCCUAUGGGGCGCAGCAGGCGCGAAACCUCCGCAAUGGGCGAAAGCCCGACGGGGUCAGUCCGAGUGGUUCCCGCUGAGGGAACCUUUUGCCAGCUGUAAACAGGCUGGCGAAUAAGGGGUGGGCAAGUUUGGUUUCAGCCGCCCCGGUAAUACCAGCACCCCGAGUGGUCGGGACGAUUAUUGGGCCUAAAGCAUCCGUAGCCGGCCCAGUAAGUCCUCCGUUAAAUCCAACGGCUCAACCGUUGGGCUGCGGGGGAUACUGCUUGGCUAGGGGACGGGAGAGGCGAGGGGUAUUCCCGGGGUAGGGGUAAAAUCCACUGAUCCCGGGAGGACCACCAGUGGCGAAGGCGCCUCGCUAGAACGUGCCCGACGGUGAGGGAUGAAAGCUGGGGGGGCGAACCGGAUUAGAUACCCGGGUAGUCCCAGCCGUGAACGAUGUAGGCUCGGUGUUGGGCUGCCUCAGUGGCAGCCCAGUGCCGCAGGGAAGCCGUUAAGCCUACCGCCUGGGGAGUACGGCCGCAAGGCUGAAACUUAAAGGAAUUGGCGGGGGAGCACCAC
This 870-nucleotide ribosomal RNA is filed under the name uncultured archaeon. RNAcentral describes it as "bacterial SSU rRNA". It matches the Rfam family "Archaeal small subunit ribosomal RNA", at positions 4 to 882 of the family's 1478-position model. The record is from RNAcentral.